AUUGAACGCUGGCGGCAGGCCUAACACAUGCAAGUCGAGCGGAUGAAGGGAGCUUGCUCCUGGCUUCAGUGGCGGACGGGCGAGUAAUGCCUAGGAAUCUGCCUGGCCGUGGGGGAUAACGUCAGGAAACGGGAGCUAAUACCGCAUCCGUCCUGAGGGAGAACGUGGGGGAUCUUCGGACCUCACGCUUUCUGCUGAGCCUAGGACGGAUUAGCUAGUUGGUGGGGUAAAGGCCUACCAAGGCGACGAUCCGUAACUGGUCUGAGAGGAUGAUCAGUCACACUGGAACUGAGACACGGUCCAGACUCCUACGGGAGGCAGCAGUGGGGAAUAUUGGACAAUGGGCGAAAGCCUGAUCCAGCCAUGCCGCGUGUGUGAAGAAGGUCUUCGGAUUGUAAAGCACUUUAAGUUGGGAGGAAGAGCAGUAAGUUAAUACCUUGCUGUUUUGACGUUACCAACAGAAUAAGCACCGGCUAACUUCGUG
RNAcentral lists this ribosomal RNA (484 nucleotides) under uncultured bacterium. RNAcentral describes it as "partial 16S ribosomal RNA". It matches the Rfam family "Bacterial small subunit ribosomal RNA", at positions 30 to 507 of the family's 1533-position model. The record is from RNAcentral.